AGAAAGAGACAAAAAACAAAUGAAGGAGGAAAAGGCGCUCACACUCCUCCGAGCGCGCACGCCCUCGCGCGCGGAGCUCCUGCGCAUGCUCGGAGCUCUUGCGCAUGCGCGGCGGUGCGCCGUCUCAACGAGUGCGCCAGGCACGUAAACGGUUGUACCGAUGUGCGGUGUCUGCCUGAACGUUGGUGUCUGUGUAUGCGUGUCUUCUUUGUGGCAUCACACGUCAACUACACUGAACGCAUACACCUGCAGCACCUUUGGGACUAAUGACACAAAGGUCAAGGCCAGCCUGGCGACCAUGCUUGCCAAGGAGUAGUAUAAAUAUUUAAUCUGUUUCCAUAAUAGCAUAAGACAUGAAUUUAAGGAAUUCAUCUAUUAUAUCGAGCAAUAAAAACGGUUAAUGCA
RNAcentral lists this long non-coding RNA (405 nucleotides) under Dermacentor andersoni. RNAcentral describes it as "uncharacterized LOC126530118". Lineage: Eukaryota; Metazoa; Arthropoda; Arachnida; Ixodida; Ixodidae. The record is from RNAcentral.